Molecule: ribosomal RNA, 492 nt
Filed under: uncultured bacterium
Lineage: Bacteria
Description: partial 16S ribosomal RNA
Rfam family: Bacterial small subunit ribosomal RNA
Source: RNAcentral
AGUGAACGCUGGCGGUAGGCCUAACACAUGCAAGUCGAACGGCAGCACAGUAAGAGCUUGCUCUUACGGGUGGCGAGUGGCGGACGUGUGAGGAAUACAUCGGAAUCUACUUUUUCGUGGGGGAUAACGUAGGGAAACUUACUCUAAUACCGCAUACGACCUACGGGUGAAAGCAGGGGAUCUUCGGACCUUGCGCGAUUGAAUGAGCCGAUGUCGGAUUAGCUAGUUGGCGGGGUAAAGGCCCACCAAGGCGACGAUCCGUAGCUGGUCUGAGAGGAUGAUCAGCCACACUGGAACUGAGACACGGUCCAGACUCCUACGGGAGGCAGCAGUGGGGAAUAUUGGACAAUGGGCGCAAGCCUGAUCCAGCCAGACCGCGUGGGUGAAGAAGGCCUUCGGGUUGUAAAGCCCUUUUGUUGGGAAAGAAAAGCAGCAGGUUAAUACCACGCUGUUCUGACGGUACCCAAAGAAUAAGCACCGGCUAACUUCGUG